GUAGGGGUUGUAAAGUGUGUGUGUUUAGGGAAAGUAGUGUGUUUUUGCUUACAGGAGAUCUAGUGUGUUCAUAGGGGAUCCAGAGUGUGUGUGUCUUUAAUGUAGUGUGUGUAGGUGGUGCAUUGUGUGCCAAUAGGGGAUCUAUUGUGUGUGUAGGGGAUAUAUUGUGUGUGGAGAACCCAGAGUGUGCAUAGCAGAUUUAGUGUGUGUGUGUGUGUGUGUGUGUG
This is a non-coding RNA of Pelobates cultripes (western spadefoot toad), 227 nucleotides long. The record is from the annotation of a GenBank genome assembly. NCBI's taxonomy places the organism in Eukaryota, Metazoa, Chordata, Amphibia, Anura, Pelobatidae.